AGAGAUGUAGCUCAGUGACAGAGAAUCUGCCUUGAAUGCAGAAGGUUCCAGGUUCAAUCUCUGGCAUCUCCA
Non-coding RNA from Podarcis lilfordi (Lilford's wall lizard), 72 nucleotides. Lineage: Eukaryota; Metazoa; Chordata; Lepidosauria; Squamata; Lacertidae. The record is from the annotation of a GenBank genome assembly.